CCUGGCGGCGAUAGCGCGGUGGUCCCACCUGACCCCAUGCCGAACUCAGAAGUGAAACGCCGUAGCGCCGAUGGUAGUG
This 79-nucleotide ribosomal RNA is filed under the name Klebsiella aerogenes. Lineage: Bacteria; Pseudomonadati; Pseudomonadota; Gammaproteobacteria; Enterobacterales; Enterobacteriaceae. RNAcentral also lists the same sequence under 6 other names. The record is from RNAcentral.